GAUGAACGCUAGCUACAGGCUUAACACAUGCAAGUCGAGGGGAAACGAUAUUGGAAGCUUGCUUCCGAUAGGCGUCGACCGGCGCACGGGUGAGUAACGCGUAUCCAACCUGCCCACCACUUGGGGAUAACCUUGCGAAAGUAAGACUAAUACCCAAUGAUGUCCAUAGAAGACAUCUGAAAUGGAUUAAAGAUUUAUCGGUGAUGGAUGGGGAUGCGUCUGAUUAGCUUGUUGGCGGGGUAACGGCCCACCAAGGCGACGAUCAGUAGGGGUUCUGAGAGGAAGGUCCCCCACAUUGGAACUGAGACACGGCCCAAACUCCUACGGGAGGCAGCAGUGAGGAAUAUUGGUCAAUGGGCGAGAGCCUGAACCAGCCAAGUAGCGUGCAGGAUGACGGCCCUAUGGGUUGUAAACUGCUUUUAUAAGGGAAUAAAGUGAGCCUCGUGAGGCUUUUUGCAUGUACCUUAUGAAUAAGGACCGGCUAAUUCCGUGCCAGCAGCCGCCGUAA
This 508-nucleotide ribosomal RNA is filed under the name uncultured bacterium. RNAcentral describes it as "partial 16S ribosomal RNA". It matches the Rfam family "Bacterial small subunit ribosomal RNA", at positions 28 to 523 of the family's 1533-position model. The record is from RNAcentral.